UGUUUGUCCUAUCUUCUCUUCUCUCUCAUCUCCUAUCUUUCUUUCUCUCUCUAUCUGUCCAUAACCCUAGAUUUGAAGAUCGAGGGCGAUCAUGGUAAAAGACUUCAUAGAAAUUCUAUAACAUUCAAGCUGUGUUUAUAUGAAUACGAGCGUUGAAAUUUGAUCCCAUCGCGUUUUCAUAUAUGUUCCAAAAUGCUUGUAUAGAUAUGUGUGUGCAUAGACAUAGAGUGUCGGAAAU
This is a long non-coding RNA of Arabidopsis thaliana (thale cress), 238 nucleotides long. RefSeq annotates it as other RNA. The record is from RefSeq. Lineage: Eukaryota; Viridiplantae; Streptophyta; Magnoliopsida; Brassicales; Brassicaceae. The transcript has a single exon.